RNAcentral lists this ribosomal RNA (490 nucleotides) under uncultured bacterium. RNAcentral's name for it is "partial 16S ribosomal RNA". It matches the Rfam family "Bacterial small subunit ribosomal RNA", at positions 29 to 507 of the family's 1533-position model. The record is from RNAcentral.
AGUGAACGCUGGCGGCAGGCCUAACACAUGCAAGUCGAACGGCAGCACAAGAGAGCUUGCUCUCUGGGUGGCGAGUGGCGGACGGGUGAGGAAUGCAUCGGAAUCUGCCCAUUUGUGGGGGAUAACCUCGGGAAACCGGGACUAAUACCGCAUACGACCUACGGGUGAAAGCAGGGGAUCUUCGGACCUUGCGCAGAUGGAUGAGCCGAUGCCGGAUGAGCUAGUUGGAGGGGUAAAGGCCCACCAAGGCGACGAUCCGUAGCUGGUCUGAGAGGAUGAUCAGCCACACUGGGAGUGAGACACGGCCCAGACUCCUACGGGAGGCAGCAGUGGGGAAUAUUGGACAAUGGGCGCAAGCCUGAUCCAGCCAUGCCGCGCGUGUGAAGACGGCCUUCGGGUUGUAAAGCAGUUUUGUUGGGAAAGAAAAGCAGCCGGUUAAUACCCGGUUGUCAUGACGGUACCCAAAGAAUAAGCACCGGCUAACUUCGUG